CGGACGGGUGAGUAACGCGUGAGAAUCUGCCUUCAGGAUGGGGACAACAGCGAGAAAUCGCUGCUAAAACCCAAUGUGCCGAGAGGUAAAAUAUUUAUAGCCUGAAGAGGAGCUCGCGUCCGAUUAGUUAGUUGGUGGGGUAAAAGCCUACCAAGGCAGCGAUCGGUAGCUGGUCUGAGAGGAUGAGCAGCCACACUGGGACUGAGACACGGCCCAGACUCCUACGGGAGGCAGCAGUGGGGAAUUUUCCGCAAUGGGCGAAAGCCUGACGGAGCAAUACCGCGUGAGGGAGGAAGGCUCUUGGGUCGUAAACCUCUUUUUCUCAAGGAAGAUAAUGACGGUACUUGAGGAAUAAGCAUCGGCUAACUCCGUGCCAGCAGCCGCGGUAAUACGGAGGAUGCAAGCGUUAUCCGGAAUGAUUGGGCGUAAAGAGUCCGUAGGUGGUAAUUCAAGUCUGUGGUUAAAGCGUGGAGCUCAACUCCAUAAAGGCCAUGGAAACUGAAUAACUAGAGUGAGGUAGGGGUAGAGGGAAUUCUCGGUGUAGCGGUGAAAUGCGUAGAUAUCGGGAAGAACACCGGUGGCGAAAGCGCUCUACUGGACCUUAACUGACACUGAGGGACGAAAGCUAGGGGAGCGAAAGGGAUUAGAUACCCCUGUAGUC
This 661-nucleotide ribosomal RNA is filed under the name uncultured cyanobacterium. RNAcentral's name for it is "bacterial SSU rRNA". It matches the Rfam family "Bacterial small subunit ribosomal RNA", at positions 99 to 795 of the family's 1533-position model. Lineage: Bacteria; Bacillati; Cyanobacteriota. The record is from RNAcentral.